GCAGCACGACUCUAUAUAACUCCAAAUCUUCACAAGACAAUCACCAUCUUCCCCUUUCUUCAAUAACCAUUUCCCUCAAAACUCUCUUGAAUUCAUAGAUUUUUAGAAAACCUAUUUUUUCCCUUUUCGACUUUCUCAUCUAAGUUAAAUUCGAUUUGGCUUGAAAUUUACGUUGAUUGUUUACUUUUGACAAGAGCAAACUUUUAACGUCAAUUUCGGACCAUUUCGAACUCAUCGAGAUUUGGUCAAGGCGUCAUUGAUUGACUAGUUUUCAUCCUCUGACCUUUGAUGGCCGGAAAUAAUUGUUUGCCAUUAGUCAAAUUGGUAUAUCUCUUUUCCCUUUUCUGUGAUUUUUCAAUACUAUUGUUUCACCGGCUAAGAAUGUUUUGAUUAAUAAGCCAGAUUAAUUGGUAUCUAUUUGUUAGAUUUAAUUAAUAACAUAUUUUUUAGUUAGGUUUUAAUUGCAAUUUGUUAUAAGUUUGUUCGAUUUGUUAAUUUUGAUGGUUGCUGAGCGUCGGGUGGCCAUAUUUGUAAGCAUAUACUAUGUUUGGUUUGUGUUUGUCCUGAUUAACAGGCAGGCCCAUUGAAUUUGAGUUUUUGGUAGGGGAAGAUAGGAGGCAUGGGCUUAUCAGCCAAAGACCCAGGCAGAGUUCAAUGUUUAGAUGUGAUUUACAAGAUUUGAGGGGUUUCAAUUGAAAGAUUAAUUUUAAGAGAAUCUUUCUGUUAUGUAAGAUCCUUCUAUGCAAGGAUUAAAAUGCAUAUCUGUCCUUUUCUGUUAAAAAAGAUGUCGUUUUCUAAUUUUUAGGGAGCUUGAUAUAUUCCCCUACUCCUCUUUGAUUUUUCUCUCAUAACAGCACACCCUUAUAUUAUAUAAAGACCCUUCCCCCUGCAUUUCAUAGGGACAGAGAUAUACACACUAACCUGGGCUUUUCACGCACAGAAUCCACCCUUAGAAUUUCCAUUUUCUCUGCAAGUCUAGCCUUCUUCAUACAUUCAUAUACACCCAUAGAAACUCAUAUCGAUCUGACUCUACCUCACUCUCAUUGAAAAGUUGAAAACUGAAGGAAAACUUGGAAUUCUAAAAAGAGGUUUGAAGAAAACUGAUUUCAAAGAUCAACUUCUUUUCUUCCUGGAUUUUUAUAAGUUGUAGAAGGUCACUUUUGUGAUUGUUGUUGUUGCUCCUGUUGAAUCUAUUGUGCUGGGUUUCACAUUUAAAGACUUCUAGCCUUUAUUUGGCCUCUUGAAAUCUAUUUCCAUUUUGCCGCUAGGUAUGUUUCGUUCAUCUGCAACCACCUAUUUGGAUUGGUAAAUGAAGGUUAAAUUGUUCAAGUCACAUCUAUGCUUAAUCUCAUGAAUUCAAACGUGUUUAAUCGUUAAAGUUGCUUGUACUUGUAUUGUUUACCAACAAUUGUUUUGAUUGAUUUUUUUUAGCUGAACCUUAAGCUGAUUUUGUUAUUUACAACUGAUCCUGUUGAAGCACACAAUGAACUAUGUUAAGAAGUUAGUUGUUACUUGCAAUACGGGAAUUAAGUCACUUUGAACUUUAGUUAAUUGCUCUAUUUGUUAGUUGUGAUGAAUCUACAAGCUUAAUCUGGUAGAGUGACUUUAUGGUCUUUUCAUUUAAACUUAGAAUUCGCUAGGAAGGAUGCCAGGUCAUAUGGACUAGACUGGAUUUUUUCUAUUAUAUCAUAGAGUCAGUGUAAUUGAAGCAUAGAUUUAUAUAUUUUAUUAUAAAACUUUGU
This 1742-nucleotide long non-coding RNA is filed under the name Nicotiana tabacum (common tobacco). RNAcentral describes it as "long non-coding RNA (NTAB_LNC019593)". The record is from RNAcentral. Lineage: Eukaryota; Viridiplantae; Streptophyta; Magnoliopsida; Solanales; Solanaceae.